GAGUUUUUCUUCUCAUGAGGAAUUAGUAUACCAAUCAAUUCUUUGCCGAAGCUUUUGGCCGAAUUGGAGGAUGGAAGCUUGAAUUACAAUUAGAGGUUCUGAAGGAAUGAGAAGUGGACGUGCAUGACUUGGAUUAAUUGGUGGAUAUGCAAUUCCUCGCCUACAUUUCGAGCAGAC
Molecule: long non-coding RNA, 177 nt
Organism: Dioscorea cayenensis subsp. rotundata (Guinea yam)
Lineage: Eukaryota; Viridiplantae; Streptophyta; Magnoliopsida; Dioscoreales; Dioscoreaceae
Exons: 3
Source: RefSeq, a predicted model, not a curated record